GAUGUCCAUCAAUUCAUAAUUGGCCACUCAGAUGAAGUGGAACAGUGGAAAACGGGCAAUGUUGUGAACAAUUUAAUUUGUGUUCUUUAAUGUGCUCCAUUGAAGCCAUAGUGAUUUCAGCUGUGUGCAAUGUAUUGAGUGUACAAUACUAACAUUAAUUGGAUUUGUAUAGGAGUUGAAGGAUGAAGUAUUUUAUGUGAUGCAUGUUUGUAAAGUAUCUGUCAUGAUGCGUAUUGUUGAAAUGAACGGAAUUAUUUAUCGUAA
RNAcentral lists this long non-coding RNA (264 nucleotides) under Hordeum vulgare. RNAcentral describes it as "long non-coding RNA (HVUL_LNC007188)". Lineage: Eukaryota; Viridiplantae; Streptophyta; Magnoliopsida; Poales; Poaceae. The record is from RNAcentral.